AGCGAACGCUGGCGGCAGGCUUAACACAUGCAAGUCGAACGGUCCUUCGGGAUAGUGGCGGACGGGUGAGUAGCACGUGGGAACGUACCCUUAGGUUCGGAACAACACAGGGAAACUUGUGCUAAUACCGGAUAAGCCCUUCGGGGGAAAGAUUUAUCGCCUUUGGAGCGGCCCGCGUCUGAUUAGCUUGUUGGUGAGGUAAUGGCUCACCAAGGCUACGAUCAGUAGCUGGUCUGAGAGGAUGGCCAGCCACACUGGGACUGAGACACGGCCCAGACUCCUACGGGAGGCAGCAGUGGGGAAUCUUGCGCAAUGGGCGAAAGCCUGACGCAGCCAUGCCGCGUGGAUGAUGGAGGUCUUAGGAUUGUAAAAUCCUUUCACCGGGGACGAUAAUGACGGUACCCGGAGAAGAAGCCCCGGCUAACUUCGUGCCAGCCGCCGCGGUAA
RNAcentral lists this ribosomal RNA (447 nucleotides) under uncultured bacterium. RNAcentral's name for it is "partial 16S ribosomal RNA". It matches the Rfam family "Bacterial small subunit ribosomal RNA", at positions 29 to 523 of the family's 1533-position model. The record is from RNAcentral.